RNAcentral lists this ribosomal RNA (115 nucleotides) under Panthera leo (lion). The record is from RNAcentral. Lineage: Eukaryota; Metazoa; Chordata; Mammalia; Carnivora; Felidae. RNAcentral also lists the same sequence under 1 other name.
GUCUAUGGCCAUACCACCAUGAACGCACCCAAUCUCGUCUGAUCACGGAAGCUAAGCAGGGUCGGACCUGGUCAGUACCUGGAUGGAGUAUUUGAGUGUAAGCUUGCUUUAAAUG